UUGGAGGGCAAGUCUGGUGCCAGCAGCCGCGGUAAUUCCAGCUCCAAUAGCGUAUAUUAAAGUUGUUGCAGUUAAAAAGCUCGUAGUUGAACUUCGGGAUCAAUGGAUUGGUCAUGCCGAUGGUAUGUACUGGUCAUAUUGGUUCUCACCUUCUAAGGAACCAUAAUGUCAUUCAUUUGAUGUUUUGGGGAAUUAGGACUGUUACCUUGAAAAAAUUAGAGUGUUUAAAGCAGGCUAACGCUUGAAUACAUUAGCAUGGAAUAAUGAAAUAGGACAUCGCAUUCUAUUUUGUUGGUUUCUAGGAUCGAUGUAAUGAUUAAUAGGGAUAGUUGGGGGCAUUAGUAUUCAAUUGUCAGAGGUGAAAUUCUUGGAUUUAUUGAAGACUAACUACUGCGAAAGCAUUCGCCAAGGAUGUUUUCAUUAAUCAAGAACGAAAGUUAGGGGAUCGAAGACGAUCAGAUACCGUCGUAGUCUUAACCAUAAACUAUGCCGACUAGGGAUCGGAUGAUGUUGAUUUUUUAAUGACUCAUUCGGCGCCUUACGGGAAAC
This 549-nucleotide ribosomal RNA is filed under the name uncultured Glomus. Its description in RNAcentral is "SSU rRNA". It matches the Rfam family "Eukaryotic small subunit ribosomal RNA", at positions 548 to 1098 of the family's 1831-position model. The record is from RNAcentral. Lineage: Eukaryota; Fungi; Glomeromycota; Glomeromycetes; Glomerales; Glomeraceae.